This 1402-nucleotide ribosomal RNA is filed under the name Plantibacter sp. Bca42. Its description in RNAcentral is "bacterial SSU rRNA". It matches the Rfam family "Bacterial small subunit ribosomal RNA". Lineage: Bacteria; Bacillati; Actinomycetota; Actinomycetes; Micrococcales; Microbacteriaceae. The record is from RNAcentral.
AGGGGACCUGAUUACCAUGCAGUCGUACGAUGAAGCCCAGCUUGCUGGGUGGAUUAGUGGCGAACGGGUGAGUAACACGUGAGUAACCUGCCCUUGACUCUGGGAUAAGCGUUGGAAACGACGUCUAAUACCGGAUACGAGCUUCCACCGCAUGGUGAGUUGCUGGAAAGAAUUUUGGUCAAGGAUGGACUCGCGGCCUAUCAGCUUGUUGGUGAGGUAAUGGCUCACCAAGGCGACGACGGGUAGCCGGCCUGAGAGGGUGACCGGCCACACUGGGACUGAGACACGGCCCAGACUCCUACGGGAGGCAGCAGUGGGGAAUAUUGCACAAUGGGCGAAAGCCUGAUGCAGCAACGCCGCGUGAGGGACGACGGCCUUCGGGUUGUAAACCUCUUUUAGCAGGGAAGAAGCGAAAGUGACGGUACCUGCAGAAAAAGCACCGGCUAACUACGUGCCAGCAGCCGCGGUAAUACGUAGGGUGCRAGCGUUGUCCGGAAUUAUUGGGCGUAAAGAGCUCGUAGGCGSUUUGUCGCGUCUGCUGUGAAAUCCCGAGGCUCAACCUCGGGUCUGCAGUGGGUACGGGCAGACUAGAGUGCGGUAGGGGAGAUUGGAAUUCCUGGUGUAGCGGUGGAAUGCGCAGAUAUCAGGAGGAACACCGAUGGCGAAGGCAGAUCUCUGGGCCGUUACUGACGCUGAGGAGCGAAAGGGUGGGGAGCAAACAGGCUUAGAUACCCUGGUAGUCCACCCCGUAAACGUUGGGCGCUAGAUGUGGGGACCAUUCCACGGUUUCCGUGUCGUAGCUAACGCAUUAAGCGCCCCGCCUGGGGAGUACGGCCGCAAGGCUAAAACUCAAAGGAAUUGACGGGGGCCCGCACAAGCGGCGGAGCAUGCGGAUUAAUUCGAUGCAACGCGAAGAACCUUACCAAGGCUUGACAUAUACGAGAACGGGCCAGAAAUGGUCAACUCUUUGGACACUCGUAAACAGGUGGUGCAUGKUUGUCGUCAGCUCGUGUCGUGAGAUGUUGGGUUAAGUCCCGCAACGAGCGCAACCCUCGUUCUAUGUUGCCAGCACGUAAUGGUGGGAACUCAUGGGAUACUGCCGGGGUCAACUCGGAGGAAGGUGGGGACGACGUCAAAUCAUCAUGCCCCUUAUGUCUUGGGCUUCACGCAUGCUACAAUGGCCAGUACAAAGGGCUGCAAUACCGUAAGGUGGAGCGAAUCCCAAAAAGCUGGUCCCAGUUCGGAUUGAGGUCUGCAACCCGACCUCAUGAAGUCGGAGUCGCUAGUAAUCGCAGAUCAGCAACGCUGCGGUGAAUACGUUCCCGGGCCUUGUACACACCGCCCGUCAAGUCAUGAAAGUCGGUAACACCCGAAGCCAGUGGCCUAACCGCAAGGAUGGAGC